Molecule: long non-coding RNA, 524 nt
Filed under: Equus asinus (donkey)
Lineage: Eukaryota; Metazoa; Chordata; Mammalia; Perissodactyla; Equidae
Description: lncRNA (ENSEASG00005028152.1)
Source: RNAcentral
UUUCAAUUAUCUGCAAAAGAUAAAUCCUUAUAUGGUACUGUGUCUGACGUGGGACUAAAUUUCUCUAGACACACAUAUUUGUGAAGAACCCUGAGGUUCUCAGCAGCUUUCCUCAUAGGCACAUGGACAUUUCAUGGGACCCUGGAAAGAUCACACAGUGAGGAAGACAAUCAUUCUCAUCCGGCCUGUGCACCUGCUGCAGUACGGUCACCUGGUCUGGCUCCAUCGAAGCAGAAGGAAAGGAAGAUUUCACUCUGAGAGGGAACAUAAGAGUCCGGGUGUCGUGUGAGCUGAAGCGUGGGGACCACAGCUUGAUAUUAGUCUUUCCAUUAUUUUGAGUUUCUACAAGUGCUUCCUAUAAAAUUUAUCUGUUUUGAAGCCAGAGGGAUUAAUAGUUUCUCAAUGAUAAAAGGCUAUCUUGUGAAGACAACAAUGCGUAUAUUAUUUGAAGUUAUUAUAUGCCAUUUGAUAGUGGUUCUUUUUUGACUCCUGUAUAAACCUUUUGGAGGAGAGAUCUCAAAGAU